UGGUAGAAAUAAUAAAACAACACAUGGGUAGAAAUAAUUUGUUUACGACCAGCAAUAUAUUUCAUGAAUGACACAUUUUCUCAGUCGUAUUACUGCUAAAAAAUAAAUUCCGAUAAUGGUGGACCGCUUAGUGAAUAGUGAGGCAAAUGCUAGGAGAAUUGCAAUGGUGGAAAGCUGCUUCGGCAGCUCGGGACAGCCUCUGGCAGAACAAGGCAGAGUCCUUGUGGGAGAGGGUGUCUUGACUAAAAUGUGUCGCAAGAAACCCAAGGCUCGGCAGUUUUUCCUUUUCAACGACAUAUUGGUGUACGGUAAUAUUGUCAUAAACAAGAAGAAAUAUAACAAGCAACAUGUCAUUCCAUUAGAAGAGGUCAAAUUAGAAUCACUCAAGGAUGAAGGGCAAUACCGAAAUGGCUGGUUGAUACGCACUGCCUCCAAAUCGUUUGCUGUUUACGCCGCUACUGCCACUGAAAAAGAAGAAUGGAUGGCACACAUAGAGAAGUGUAUAGAAGACUUGUUAAGGAAGAGUGGCAAACAACCACCAUCAGAGCAUGCAGCUGUGUGGGUUCCAGACAAUGAAGCUGCUAUUUGUAUGCACUGCAAGAAGACACAGUUCACAGUGCUCAAUAGAAGACACCACUGCCGCAAGUGCGGGUCGGUGGUGUGCGGGCCGUGUUCGUCGAAGCGCUACAUCCUGCGCGGACAGAGCGACAAGCCGCUGCGCGUGUGCCUGCAGUGCUACGACGAGCUGAACCGCGAGCGCGCGCGCCCCAACCUGCCGCCCACCGCCAACACCACGCCAGUGAAAACAGACGCGGCGGGCUCGGGCGGCGACUCGUCCGCCGAUGAAGACAGCGACGACGACGACGACCGCGUCAACGCAGAGGAGAAACACGAUGAGGUACCAGGUUUGGCCAUCUAUGAGACAGAAUGGGUGGGUAACUAUCGAAAGGUGCGAACGGAUCUAUAACCAAACCAGUAGGGCUUUACAAGUUAUAACGGAGUCAAAAACGGAUUCGGAAAUAAAGUCACGACUGUAUAGUACAAAUUGAAAUUGUCCAAAGUUCUACGGUGACAGUGAUAAGACUGAAGAGACCAACAA
This 1099-nucleotide unclassified non-coding RNA is filed under the name Manduca sexta (tobacco hornworm). Its description in RNAcentral is "pleckstrin homology domain-containing family F member 2, transcript variant X3". Lineage: Eukaryota; Metazoa; Arthropoda; Insecta; Lepidoptera; Sphingidae. The record is from RNAcentral.